Molecule: non-coding RNA, 563 nt
Organism: Camelina sativa (false flax)
Lineage: Eukaryota; Viridiplantae; Streptophyta; Magnoliopsida; Brassicales; Brassicaceae
Source: RefSeq, a predicted model, not a curated record
CUUUGUUCCUUCAUCUUCUCCCUCUCCUUCUUCGAAUUUUAUAUUGUACUGCGUCUAUGCUUCGUUGGUUCGGUACUCAAUUUGAGUUUUUUCUGAACAGCUUCGCAGCUUCUCUGUUGCCGUCUGGCUCUGCAGCUGCGGCCGUAGGUUUUGGUAGAUCUGGAUUCGAAAACUUCUAUACUGUAUCAAACGAAGAUUCUGCUCCCUUUUUUUGGAUUUGGUUAGUGAGGUUAAACUCAACACUUGCAGCGGCUUUCAAGGAAAGACCCUACAACUAAGAACUGAUUAACCAAAAGAAAGGCAAGGAACUUUUGCCAAUAAUUCCAAAAUGGAUAUGUGAGUACAACAAGUUGAUACUGGACUACGAUAGCUACGCUUGGCGUCAUGACUAAUGAUGGUGUCACUGGUGUCGGGUUUGACUCUCAAUUUUCUCAUGCAUGUUCUUUUUCUUGCCUCGAUUGCAUUGCAGUGUCUCAUUUAUUUCCUUUUUUUAGUGUCAUACACUUGGAUGUCAUGUAGUCUUCUUGUGUCAUGAGUAAGUGAUAUGAUUUAGCUUUGUGAUU